CCUACGGGUGGCAGCAGUAAGGAAUCUUCCGCAAUGGGGGCAACCCUGACGGAGCGACACCGCGUGGAGGAUGAAGGUGGUUUCCAUCGUAAACUCCUGUUGUGAGGGACGAAAUUUUUGACGGUACCUCACGAGAAAGCAUCGGCUAAUUCUGUGCCAGCAGCCGCGGUAAGACAGAAGAUGCAAGCGUUACUCGGAAUUACUGGGCGUAAAGCGUCUGUAGGUGUCCUUUCAAGUCUGGUGUAAAAGCACGGAGCUCAACUCCGUGUACGUACCGGAAACUGACAGGAUGGAGUCAUUCAGAGGCAUCUGGAAUGCCGUGUGUAGGGGUAAAAUCCGUUGAUCCACGGUAGAACGCCAAAAGCGAAGGCAGGAUGCUGGGAAUGUACUGACACUGAGAGACGAAAGCGUGGGGAGCAAAAAGGAUUAGAUACCCCUGU
Molecule: ribosomal RNA, 440 nt
Filed under: uncultured bacterium
Lineage: Bacteria
Description: bacterial SSU rRNA
Rfam family: Bacterial small subunit ribosomal RNA
Source: RNAcentral